AGGACUACUGUUCAUGUUAUCUCAAUGUAAUGGACAGUUAGGACUACUGUUCAUGUUAUCUCAAUGUAAUGGACAGUUAGGACUACUGUUCAUGUUAUCUCAAUGUAACAGACAGUUAGGACUACUGUUCAUGUUAUCUCAAUGUAAUAGACAGUUAGGACUACUGUUCAUGUUAUCUCAAUGUAACAGACAGUUAGGACUACUGUUCAUGUUAUCUCAAUGUAACAGACAGUUAGGACGACUGUUCAUGUUAUCUCAAUGUAAUAAGACAGUUAGGACUACUGUUCAUGUUAUCUCAAUGUAACAGACAGUUAGGACGACUGUUCAUGUUAUCUCAAUGUAACAGACAGUUAGGACGACUGUUCAUGUUAUCUCAACCUAAUGAUAACCGUGUGUUAUCUAUUUAUAUUGUUGAAACAGACAUAUAUUGCCUGUGUGUUUUGGUCAUUUCAAGACGUACUGAGGUGUAUGUGUACCCUUCAAGGAAUGGAACUGUAUAAUAGUAUUGCUUGAUUGAAUUGACAUGAAUGUGUCCUAAUCCAGCAGGACAUCUAUUGUUCAGUAUCACAGUGGGAAGGUUGAAGAGCAAACCGUGUGUAUUGAUAUAAGUCUACUGUAUGGGCCGUCCACAGGAAGUGCCUUUAUUAGUGCUAUGUUAUCAUGUACUGUAUUUCCUGAAGGUUUAUGGAGGAACAGAUAGAUAACCAACCAAACUCACCACGAGACAACUAUAGGGAGGCGAUUCACAGAGCUGUGACCACUCAGUCUCCCGAGUCGAAACAACUAGGACUUGUUCAUGUUCGUAACCAUUUGGUUUCACAGUAGAACUGUCGUUGUUUUAGAAAUGGGACUGAAAGACAGAACGACUGAAAGAACAGAAGAAGGGUGGGUAGAGACGUGGAGUCAAAACUUCACAGAGUUGUGGCUACAAGCCCUCCAGUCUACAGGACUAGCUCAUGUGUAGGCCAUAUGUAAAUGAACUGUCGUUGUUUUAGAAAGAGAAAUACUGAAAAAACAAGGGGUAGAUAGACGUGAGUCAGUGGGAGGGGUUAAUGGGUUGGUUGUAGAGGUCUUGUUUGUGGAGGGAAGUUGGGUACUGGCCAGGGCUGUUACACCUCUUCCUCCCCAGACUGAAGACUCAGAGUGGAGAGAGAAAAGAGGGGGUUGAGAGAGAGAGAGAGAGGGCUGAGAGAGAGAGAGAGAGAGAGAGAGGGCUGAGAGAGAGGGCUGAGAGAGGGCUGAGAGAGAGAGAGGGGAGAUGAUAGACAGAGAGAGCGAUAGUAGCUUAGUGUAGCUGGGAAAAGAAAGGGGGAGUAGAGAGAGAGAAAGGUUGAGUGAAAAAGGUAAAAUGGAAAGAAUGUUUGGAAGGGUGAAGGGAAUUAUGUUUCAGCUGACCAAAUAAGUUUAGCUUUAAGUUGGGAAGAUACACAGUUCAACACAUUUCAGCUGAAAGUCAUUACAGUCACUGUAGCUGAAAGUCAUUACAGUCACUGUAGCUGAAAGUCAUUACAGUCACUGUAGCUGAAAGUCAUUACAGUCACUGUAGCUGAAAGUCAUUACAGCCAUUGCAGCUGAAAGUCAUUACAGCCAUUGCAGCUGAAAGUCAUUACAGUCACUGUAGCUGAAAGUCAUUACAG
Long non-coding RNA from Oncorhynchus tshawytscha (Chinook salmon), 1637 nucleotides. The record is from Ensembl. NCBI's taxonomy places the organism in Eukaryota, Metazoa, Chordata, Actinopteri, Salmoniformes, Salmonidae.